Molecule: long non-coding RNA, 344 nt
Filed under: Heterocephalus glaber (naked mole-rat)
Lineage: Eukaryota; Metazoa; Chordata; Mammalia; Rodentia; Bathyergidae
Description: lncRNA (ENSHGLG00000044655.1)
Source: RNAcentral
CUGGAGCGAGAGACCGCGCGAGCCGGGCUAGAAAGAAGUGGGCGCCGGCCGAGGCGGGCAAGCGGCGCGCCCACCAGCUGGCGCGCGUGUUCUGCACAAAGGAACUGUUUGGGGAGUUAUUCCCUGGCUGAUCAUUGGAAUGGAGCAAGGCGAGAAAGGAACAGGAAACUAUCCAAUCACUUCAGAUCCUGCUCUGGUCACCUUAGAUCUAGUGAUGUUGGCACAGCACCCCAGCCAUUAGGCUCACUGGAGACUAGCAACUCCAAGUCAGGCAUAUGUAUGCAUGCCUAUAACCCAGCACUCAUGGAAACAGAGGCAGGAGGAUCAAACUUUUGAGCCCAGGC